CGGAUUAGCGGCGGACGGGUGAGUGACACGUGAGUAACCUGCCUUAGACAUUGGGAUAGCCUCGGGAAACCGGGAUUAAUACCAAAUAAAAUCAUAAUGACACAUGUCAUAACGAUCAAAACUCCGGUGGUCUAAGAUGGACUCGCGUCCCAUUAGCUAGUUGGUAGAGUAAAAGCCUACCAAGGCGACGAUGGGUAGCCGGCCUGAGAGGGUGAACGGCCACAUUGGAACUGAGAAACGGUCCAA
This 246-nucleotide ribosomal RNA is filed under the name uncultured Eubacteriales bacterium. RNAcentral describes it as "uncultured Clostridiales bacterium partial 16S ribosomal RNA". It matches the Rfam family "Bacterial small subunit ribosomal RNA", at positions 88 to 334 of the family's 1533-position model. The record is from RNAcentral. Lineage: Bacteria; Bacillati; Bacillota; Clostridia; Eubacteriales.